Molecule: ribosomal RNA, 247 nt
Filed under: uncultured bacterium
Lineage: Bacteria
Description: partial 16S ribosomal RNA
Rfam family: Bacterial small subunit ribosomal RNA
Source: RNAcentral
AUACGAAGGGGGCUAGCGUUGCUCGGAAUUACUGGGCGUAAAGGGAGCGUAGGCGGAUAGUUUAGUCAGAGGUGAAAGCCCAGGGCUCAACCUUGGAAUUGCCUUUGAUACUGGCUAUCUUGAGUAUGGAAGAGGUAUGUGGAACUCCGAGUGUAGAGGUGAAAUUCGUAGAUAUUCGGAAGAACACCAGUGGCGAAGGCGACAUACUGGUCCAUUACUGACGCUGAGGCUCGAAAGCGUGGGGAGC